UAAACACACAACAAAACAAAAAACGCAACUACAAUUGAGAAAAACGUACGUGUUGCAAUUUAAACUAAACAAGUACAACAUUGAAUGCGUAUUUAAAUGCGACAGCUAAGCAACAGUAUUUUUGCUCAAGAUUACAACUAAUACAACUAUAUAUCUAUAUAUAUAUAUACCAUAUAAUAUAUGCAGUGAUUAUUUGUUGCAUUUGUUUUCGAAUACCAAAUAAAAUAUUAAACACACAACAAAAGGAAGAGAACCGAACGCAGCGAGCUUAAGCCAACAAAACGUAGUACGACUAGUAAAAGACACCACCAAUUUAAUUUUGCGCAGCAACUAAGCAGCAUAAAUAUUAAUUAGCCAAAAUCUAAUAGAUAUAUAUGUAUAUAUA
Long non-coding RNA from Drosophila busckii, 385 nucleotides. RefSeq lists it as uncharacterized. The record is from RefSeq and is a predicted model, not a curated record. Lineage: Eukaryota; Metazoa; Arthropoda; Insecta; Diptera; Drosophilidae. The transcript is spliced from 3 exons.